This 262-nucleotide ribosomal RNA is filed under the name Staphylococcus chromogenes. RNAcentral describes it as "partial 23S ribosomal RNA". It matches the Rfam family "Bacterial large subunit ribosomal RNA", at positions 1420 to 1675 of the family's 2925-position model. The record is from RNAcentral. Lineage: Bacteria; Bacillati; Bacillota; Bacilli; Caryophanales; Staphylococcaceae.
GGAUAACAGGUUGAUAUUCCUGUACCACCAUGAUUCGUUUUAAGCGAUGGGGGGACGCAGUAGGAUAGGCGAAGCGUGCUGUUGGAGUGCACGUCCAAGCAGUAAGACUGAGUGUUAGGCAAAUCCGGCACUCACUAAGGUCAAGCUGUGAUGGGGAGAGGAAACAUGUUUUCCUCGAGUCGUUGAUUUCACACUGCCGAGAAAAGCCUCUAGCUAGAAGAUUGGUGCCCGUACCGCAAACCGACACAGGUAGUCAAGAUGA